This 578-nucleotide ribosomal RNA is filed under the name Nocardia sp. StTD492. RNAcentral's name for it is "bacterial SSU rRNA". It matches the Rfam family "Bacterial small subunit ribosomal RNA", at positions 102 to 694 of the family's 1533-position model. The record is from RNAcentral. Lineage: Bacteria; Bacillati; Actinomycetota; Actinomycetes; Mycobacteriales; Nocardiaceae. RNAcentral also lists the same sequence under 1 other name.
ACGGGUGAGUAACACGUGGGUGAUCUGCCUCGCACUCUGGGAUAAGCCUGGGAAACUGGGUCUAAUACCGGAUAUGAGCAGCCUCUGCAUGGGGGCUGUUGGAAAGGUUUACUGGUGCGAGAUGGGCCCGCGGCCUAUCAGCUUGUUGGUGGGGUAACGGCCCACCAAGGCGACGACGGGUAGCCGACCUGAGAGGGUGACCGGCCACACUGGGACUGAGACACGGCCCAGACUCCUACGGGAGGCAGCAGUGGGGAAUAUUGCACAAUGGGCGAAAGCCUGAUGCAGCGACGCCGCGUGAGGGAUGACGGCCUUCGGGUUGUAAACCUCUUUUGACAGGGACGAAGCGCAAGUGACGGUACCUGUAGAAGAAGCACCGGCCAACUACGUGCCAGCAGCCGCGGUAAUACGUAGGGUGCGAGCGUUGUCCGGAAUUACUGGGCGUAAAGAGCUUGUAGGCGGUCUGUCACGUCGAUUGUGAAAACUUGCAGCUCAACUGCAAGCUUGCAGUCGAUACGGGCAGACUAGAGUACUUCAGGGGAGACUGGAAUUCCUGGUGUAGCGGUGAAAUGCGCAGA